This 352-nucleotide ribosomal RNA is filed under the name uncultured soil bacterium. RNAcentral's name for it is "bacterial SSU rRNA". It matches the Rfam family "Bacterial small subunit ribosomal RNA", at positions 26 to 381 of the family's 1533-position model. The record is from RNAcentral.
AGAUUGAACGCUAGCGGGAUGCUUUACACAUGCAAGUCGAACGGCAGCGCGGACUUCGGUCUGGCGGCGAGUGGCGAACGGGUGAGUAAUAUAUCGGAACGUGCCCAGUAGCGGGGGAUAACUACGCGAAAGCGUGGCUAAUACCGCAUACGCCCUACGGGGGAAAGGGGGGAUUCUUCGGAACCUCUCACUAUUGGAGCGGCCGAUAUCAGAUUAGCUAGUUGGUGAGGUAAAGGCUCACCAAGGCGACGAUCUGUAGCUGGUCUGAGAGGACGACCAGCCACACUGGAACUGAGACACGGUCCAGACUCCUACGGGAGCAGCAGUGGGAAUUUGGACAAGUGGGCGCAAG